Long non-coding RNA from Sciurus carolinensis (gray squirrel), 2050 nucleotides. RefSeq lists it as uncharacterized. Lineage: Eukaryota; Metazoa; Chordata; Mammalia; Rodentia; Sciuridae. The transcript is spliced from 6 exons. The record is from RefSeq and is a predicted model, not a curated record.
GCUGGAGAGACGGGACGGAAGGAAGCCAGCAUAGCCCAAGGGAGGAACAGAGUGACAAGCAUGGAGGUGGGGAGGUGGUCAGGACUUUGCAGGCCGCAGGGGGCUGGGCAGCAGACUUGAAGGCCUGGGAAGCGUCGGGGGCUGGGCCUGGAACAGGAUGGGGUCGACCUUUGCAAAGAUCCUGGCUGCUGUGAGAUCCGCAGGGCGAGCUGCCUGUCCUCCCUGGGGGGCUGAGGCCUACUGUGAGCCAGAGAGCUCCUGUGUCAGGGGCAAUCUAGCCAGGCGGACUGUGUUAGUCAGCUUUGGGUCGCUGUGACCAAAAUACCUGACAAGAGCAACUGAGAAGAGGAAAAGUUUAUUUUGGCUCAUGGUUUCAGAAGUUCAGUCCACGAUCAGUUGACUCCAUUGCUGUGGGCCCAAGAUCUAUGCCUGAAUUGCAGCACGGUUACAGGAUUUUUGGAGCACUGUACCAGGGUCAUGUGCCCAUUUCUACUUAAACCACUCAAGCUGGGAUUCGGUGAACAUUUGUAACCAGUUACUUGGAGCUAAAACCAGCUUCAGGCUUCAUGGACUAGUCACUGGGAGAUAGCAGGACAACAUUCUCCAGUGUCCCUCCAUAGUGGACGAGGGCUCUAUGGCAUGGAUGAGUGAAGUGAAGGAGGUGUAUCUCCCAUCCAGUAUCCAUCAGCAUCACCUUGGACCUGACUGGCAGGGAUCCAGAAGCUGGGUCCAGAGGCAGCCAGGGAAUUAACCAGUCCUGGAUCCUGUAGCUCCCAACCCUUAACUCUCUUGGAUGGGAGAGUGAUCUGGCUCCCAGGUCCAGGGGCCUGGCCCGUGACUCACAUGCCUCCACCUCUCCCGGAUGAGACUGGUCCUUAAGCAGAAGAGAUAGGGCCCCAGUGAACUUGGGAACUGCAUCUGAGUGUGGGGGGACCCUUUACACUACUGGGUCUGGACACUGCUUCUCCAACCCAAGCCUCAGAAUCAGUCCCAAGUUUGUCUGCCUGUGGCAUGUUCCUGGCCCCAAGCUGGCACCCACACAAUGUCACUCUCCCUGGGCUACCCUGAGACUCGCCCACGGCUGGGGCCUGUCCUCUCUCUUUUCUGUUGCCCUGCACCAAGCCCAGCUGACCUGGGUGUGAAGUCAAUGAUGUAAGGCCCCUGGUCCCACUCAGUAUCUGUUUGUUGUCUUCCCUUGACCUGGCAAGUGGAAUCCGACUACUUCCUGUACUUGAGCAGUGAGAUGCCGGGCCCAAGAGCCACCUUCCUUCCCUGCCUGAGGAGUUUGCUCAUUAACUGGAAUUCCUCUCAUGAUGGCCCUCCUGGCUGCAAGGGGAAAGAGCAGGAGAGGUUUCCAGAGCUCUUUCCUGUUGGUGGUCCUGGCUCUGGGGAAGCUUGGCCAAGGCUUCCUCCUACCUGCCUUUGUGCCCCUCCCCGCUGGGACUCCAGAAGCUUCCCUGGUUGUCUGAGGCCUGACCAGAUCAGCCCUCCCACAGGUUAGAGGACAGCCUCCCUCCUCACAUCCUGGGCCUGUGCUAGAUUGGGCAAAUGGGAACCAGCUGUGGGCCUAACACUGAGAUGACCCAGUGGGAAACAGAGGGGGACAAAGAUCAGGAGGUGUCUCCCACCCGCCAACACACAGCAUAUGCCUCCUGUUCCUGUCCCACUAGCAAAGGGAAGUUAAGAGCACUCCACCCUCUGAGGUCUCAACUUUCCAAAUAAAGAAGUUCUUGGAGGAACCCUAUGGGGAUGAGGGAUCUGUCAGGAUUUGGAGAGACUGCCAUCCUGGUGAGAAUGCUUGUCCUCAGUGACCAGUAGUCACUAUCUGGGAUUCUGCACUUGGACAAAGAAAUUUUUACUGCCAGAAGCACACAGGAACACCAGGACACCGGUGGCUGCUCUACUGAGAGAAGUAGAAGUUUUGACCUUUGAGUCUUCAAGGUCACUGGCAAGUGGGCUCUGCACCCAGUCGAAGUUCAUGAAGUUCUUUCUAAGCAAAAAAAAAAAUAAGAUAUCCUUUGGGGGGGGGCAAAAAUCUAAGUCAUUCUAA